Molecule: transfer RNA, 53 nt
Filed under: Hygrobates longiporus
Lineage: Eukaryota; Metazoa; Arthropoda; Arachnida; Trombidiformes; Hygrobatidae
Description: tRNA-Leu
Source: RNAcentral
CAACCAUUAGUAUAAAGUAUAUUAAAUUUAGAAUUUGAAGGUAUAUCGGUUGA